AAAUUGAAGAGUUUGAUCAUGGCUCAGAUUGAACGCUGGCGGCAGGCCUAACACAUGCAAGUCGAACGGUAACAGGAAACAGCUUGCUGUUUCGCUGACGAGUGGCGGACGGGUGAGUAAUGUCUGGGAAACUGCCUGAUGGAGGGGGAUAACUACUGGAAACGGUAGCUAAUACCGCAUAACGUCGCAAGACCAAAGAGGGGGACCUUCGGGCCUCUUGCCAUCGGAUGUGCCCAGAUGGGAUUAGCUAGUAGGUGGGGUAAAGGCUCACCUAGGCGACGAUC
RNAcentral lists this ribosomal RNA (284 nucleotides) under Escherichia coli. RNAcentral describes it as "partial 16S ribosomal RNA". It matches the Rfam family "Bacterial small subunit ribosomal RNA", at positions 1 to 281 of the family's 1533-position model. Lineage: Bacteria; Pseudomonadati; Pseudomonadota; Gammaproteobacteria; Enterobacterales; Enterobacteriaceae. The record is from RNAcentral.